This 253-nucleotide ribosomal RNA is filed under the name uncultured bacterium. Its description in RNAcentral is "partial 16S ribosomal RNA". It matches the Rfam family "Bacterial small subunit ribosomal RNA", at positions 524 to 776 of the family's 1533-position model. The record is from RNAcentral.
UACGUAGGGGGCUAGCGUUGUCCGGAAUUAUUGGGCGUAAAGAGCUCGUAGGCGGUCUGUCGCGUCGGAUGUGAAAACUCGGGGCUCAACCCCGAGCCUGCAUUCGAUACGGGCAGACUAGAGUUCGGUAGGGGAGACUGGAAUUCCUGGUGUAGCGGUGAAAUGCGCAGAUAUCAGGAGGAACACCGGUGGCGAAGGCGGGUCUCUGGGCCGAUACUGACGCUGAGGAGCGAAAGCGUGGGGAGCGAACAGG